UACGUAGGGCGCAAGCGUUGUCCGGAAUUAUUGGGCGUAAAGAGCUCGUAGGCGGCCUGUUGCGUCCGCUGUGAAAUCCCGGGGCUCAACCCCGGGCCUGCAGUGGAUACGGGCUGGCUAGAGGCAGGCAGGGGAGAACGGAAUUCCUGGUGUAGCGGUGAAAUGCGCAGAUAUCAGGAGGAACACCGGUGGCAAAGGCGGUUCUCUGGGCCUGUACUGACGCUGAGGAGCGAAAGCGUGGGGAGCAAACAGG
Molecule: ribosomal RNA, 253 nt
Filed under: uncultured bacterium
Lineage: Bacteria
Description: partial 16S ribosomal RNA
Rfam family: Bacterial small subunit ribosomal RNA
Source: RNAcentral